Molecule: ribosomal RNA, 460 nt
Filed under: uncultured bacterium
Lineage: Bacteria
Description: partial 16S ribosomal RNA
Rfam family: Bacterial small subunit ribosomal RNA
Source: RNAcentral
CCUACGGGUGGCAGCAGUGAGGAAUAUUGGUCAAUGGACGCAAGUCUGAACCAGCCAAGUCGCGUGAAGGAUGACGGCUCUAUGAGUUGUAAACUGCUUUUGUACGGGGGUAAAACGAGACACGUGUGUCGGGUUGAAUGUACUGUAUGAAUAAGGAUCGGCUAACUCCGUGCCAGCAGCCGCGGUAAUACGGAGGAUCCAAGCGUUAUCCGGAUUUAUUGGGUUUAAAGGGUGCGUAGGUGGUUUGUUAAGUCAGAUGUGAAAGCCUGCGGCUCAACCGUAUAAUUGCAUUUGAUACUGGCAGUCUUGAGUACAGUAGAGGUAGGCGGAAUGUGUGGUGUAGCGGUGAAAUGCUUAGAUAUCAUGAAGAACCCCGAUUGCGAAGGCAGCUUACCAAACUGCGACUGACAUUGAGGCUCGAAAGUGUGGGUAUCAAACAGGAUUAGAUACCCGUGUAGUC